AUUGAUGCAACUUAUCAAUCA
This 21-nucleotide non-coding RNA is filed under the name Arabidopsis thaliana (thale cress). Lineage: Eukaryota; Viridiplantae; Streptophyta; Magnoliopsida; Brassicales; Brassicaceae. The record is from RNAcentral.